GCGGGAGUAGCUCAGUUGGUAGAGCUCUUGCCUUCCAAGCAAGCUGUCGCGAGUUCGAGUCUCGUCUCCCGCUC
This 74-nucleotide transfer RNA is filed under the name Thermoflexales bacterium. RNAcentral describes it as "tRNA-Gly". It matches the Rfam family "tRNA". Rfam says of the family: Transfer RNA (tRNA) molecules are approximately 80 nucleotides in length. Their secondary structure includes four short double-helical elements and three loops (D, anti-codon, and T loops). The record is from RNAcentral. Lineage: Bacteria; Bacillati; Chloroflexota; Thermoflexia; Thermoflexales.